RNAcentral lists this ribosomal RNA (446 nucleotides) under uncultured bacterium. Its description in RNAcentral is "partial 16S ribosomal RNA". It matches the Rfam family "Bacterial small subunit ribosomal RNA", at positions 338 to 795 of the family's 1533-position model. The record is from RNAcentral.
CCUACGGGAGGCUGCAGUCGAGAAUCAUUCACAAUGGGGGAAACCCUGAUGGUGCGACGCCGCGUGGGGGAAUGAAGGUCUUCGGAUUGUAAACCCCUGUCAUGUGGGAGCAAAUUAAAAAGAUCGUACUCCAAGAGGAAGAGACGGCUAACUCUGUGCCAGCAACCGCGGUAAUACAGAGGUCUCAAGCGUUGUUCGGAAUCACUGGGCGGAACGCGUGCGUAGGCUGUUUCGUAAGUCGUGUGUGAAAGGCGCGGGCUCAACCCGCGGACGGCACAUGAUACUGCGAGACUAGAGUAAUGGAGGGGGAACCGGAAUUCUCGGUGUAGCAGUGAAAUGCGUAGAUAUCGAGAGGAACACUCGUGGCGAAGGCGGGUUACUGGACAGUAACUGACGCUGAGGCACGAAGGCCAGGGGAGCGAAAGGGAUUAGAUACCCCAGUAGUC